This 78-nucleotide transfer RNA is filed under the name Candidatus Dadabacteria bacterium. RNAcentral describes it as "tRNA-Asp". It matches the Rfam family "tRNA". Rfam says of the family: Transfer RNA (tRNA) molecules are approximately 80 nucleotides in length. Their secondary structure includes four short double-helical elements and three loops (D, anti-codon, and T loops). The record is from RNAcentral. RNAcentral also lists the same sequence under 2 other names. Lineage: Bacteria; Pseudomonadati; Thermodesulfobacteriota; Candidatus Dadabacteria.
GGGGCCGUAGUUCAGCCUGGUUAGAACGCUGGCCUGUCAAGCCAGAGGUCGCGGGUUCGAAUCCCGUCGGUCCCGCCA